This is a long non-coding RNA of Dicentrarchus labrax (European seabass), 449 nucleotides long. RefSeq lists it as uncharacterized. The transcript has 2 exons. Lineage: Eukaryota; Metazoa; Chordata; Actinopteri; Moronidae. The record is from RefSeq and is a predicted model, not a curated record.
CGAAUCAGAUGUUCGUGGCUACCUUUAUGAGCCGCAAUAUAGCGAGCAGCGGCUGAGGCUGAACAGGAGGCGGCUGAGGCUUCUGCAGCCGAGGCAGAGGACCUGCCUGUCGCGGACGAGGAGCCCGGACUGGCUCGAGCUGGGGCGGACUGCUGGUGCCUGUGCUCUCGCUGUGCGCCUACGGACACACGGACGUCUGACUGUAAAACAAUAUCGCCUAACAGCCUUUCUGGAAUGGGUCCUGCAAGGCGAGAGAUUGGGUCGAGGCCAUCGUGUCGUUUUACCCGCUGAUGUGGUGCAGGCUAUCCGACAGAAACAUCCAGCUCCAGAUGGCCAGUACUGCGGCCCCGAGACGUUGAGGACGCUCAGGAGGAACUAUAACUGUCAAUGUUAACAUAUUUAUUUUUGUUGUUGUUGAUAUAUUUCUGUAAAUAAAUGGUUUACAUUCA